Molecule: ribosomal RNA, 289 nt
Filed under: uncultured Vibrio sp.
Lineage: Bacteria; Pseudomonadati; Pseudomonadota; Gammaproteobacteria; Vibrionales; Vibrionaceae
Description: partial 16S ribosomal RNA
Rfam family: Bacterial small subunit ribosomal RNA
Source: RNAcentral
CGAGCGCACCCUUAUCCUUGGUUGCCAGCCUUUAAUGGGGGGAACUCCGGGGACAGUGCGGGAGAUAACCCGGAAGAGGGGGGGGACCACCUCGAGUCCUCGGGGCUUUUACGAGUGGGUCCACACACGUGCUACUGUGGUUCAUACAGAGGGCGGCCACCUUGCUGAGGAGAGCGAAUCCCAAAAAAUGCGUCAUACCCCGGAUUGGACUCUGCAACUCCACUCCGUGAAGUCGGAAUCGCUAGUAAUCGUGGAUCAAAAUGCCACGGUGAAUACGUUCCCGGGCCUU